This 213-nucleotide ribosomal RNA is filed under the name uncultured bacterium. RNAcentral's name for it is "partial 16S ribosomal RNA". It matches the Rfam family "Bacterial small subunit ribosomal RNA", at positions 118 to 332 of the family's 1533-position model. The record is from RNAcentral.
UGAGCAAUCUGCCCUUCACAUCGGAAUAACCAUUGGAAACGAUGGCUAAUACCGAAUAUGACUUCGGAUCGCAUGAUCUGAAGUGGAAAGCUCCGGCGGUGAAGGAUGAGCUCGCGGCCUAUCAGCUUGUUGGUGAGGUAAUGGCUCACCAAGGCGAUGACGGGUAGCCGGCCUGAGAGGGUGACCGGCCACACUGGGACUGAGACACCGGCA